RNAcentral lists this non-coding RNA (26 nucleotides) under Homo sapiens (human). The record is from RNAcentral. Lineage: Eukaryota; Metazoa; Chordata; Mammalia; Primates; Hominidae.
UGGUGUCAUCUAGUCGAGUCCUCUCA